Molecule: ribosomal RNA, 590 nt
Filed under: Candida albicans
Lineage: Eukaryota; Fungi; Ascomycota; Pichiomycetes; Serinales; Debaryomycetaceae
Description: LSU rRNA
Rfam family: Eukaryotic large subunit ribosomal RNA
Source: RNAcentral
GGAGGAAAAGAAACCACCAGGGAUUGCCUCAGUAGCGGCGAGUGAAGCGGCAAAAGCUCAAAUUUGAAAUCUGGCGUCUUUGGCGUCCGAGUUGUAAUUUGAAGAAGGUAUCUUUGGGCCCGGCUCUUGUCUAUGUUCCUUGGAACAGGACGUCACAGAGGGUGAGAAUCCCGUGCGAUGAGAUGACCCGGGUCUGUGUAAAGUUCCUUCGACGAGUCGAGUUGUUUGGGAAUGCAGCUCUAAGUGGGUGGUAAAUUCCAUCUAAAGCUAAAUAUUGGCGAGAGACCGAUAGCGAACAAGUACAGUGAUGGAAAGAUGAAAAGAACUUUGAAAAGAGAGUGAAAAAGUACGUGAAAUUGUUGAAAGGGAAGGGCUUGAGAUCAGACUUGGUAUUUUGCAUGCUGCUCUCUCGGGGGCGGCCGCUGCGGUUUACCGGGCCAGCAUCGGUUUGGAGCGGCAGGAUAAUGGCGGAGGAAUGUGGCACGGCUUCUGCUGUGUGUUAUAGCCUCUGACGAUACUGCCAGCCUAGACCGAGGACUGCGGUUUUUACCUAGGAUGUUGGCAUAAUGAUCUUAAGUCGCCCGUCUUGA